GGGGCGGGGAAGACGAAAAGGUGGUGGUGAGGAAGGGCCUUUCCGGAGGCGAUGCCGUCUGCAUUCUCAGUCAGCAAUUUCCCCGUCAGCAUCCCCGCCGUGAUCACGCAGACGGACUGGACGGAGCCCUGGCUCGUGGGGCUGGCUGCCUUCCACGUGCUUUGCCUGCUGCUCACCUGCCUCUCAUCCCGGAGGUACAAGCUACAGGUGGGGCACUUCCUGUGCCUGGUGACCUUAGUCUACUGCGCGGAGUACAUCAAUGAAGUGGCGGCGGUGAACUGGAGGUGAACGGCCCCGGGCACGUGGACCUUGUUGUUCUCGAAGUACCAGUAUUUUGACUCGAGGGGCAUGUUCAUCUCCAUAGUGUUCUCGGCGCCCGUGCUACUGAACGCCCUGGCCAUCGUGGUCCUGUGGGUGUGCAAGGCCCUGACCGUGAUGACCGACCUGAGGGCCCUGCAGCAGAGGAGGAGGGCCAGGGGCAGGCCCGGGAGGAGUGACGCCUCGGAUCCGGCCUCGCGCGCUCCUGGACUGCACUUAGACCAGCCUUUAGGACAGAGUUUGCCGCACGUCCACCAGGGCACUCGCCGGGCCUGCAGGGGGUCCCGUCUCUCCAGUUAAGUUGUAAGCAAACGGAACCACGCACGUCGCCACACGUCCACGGGACUCCUGUGACUGUGUGAACUACCAGACAUCCGUCCACAUGGGGACGGUGACUGAGUGAGGGACAGUGCCAUGCACGCGUGGGCACCUCCGUCACCCCCAUCAACUCGCAUCACCUCCAUCACCCCUAUCACUCCUGUCACCUCCGUCACCCCGUCACCCCUGUCAACCCCCAUCACCCCCGUCACCUCCAUCACCCCGUCACCCCUGUCACCUCCAUCACCCCUGUUACCUCCAUCACUUCCUGUCACCUCCAUCACCCCCUGUCAACCCCCAUCACCCCUGUCACCUCCUAUCACCUCUAUCACCCCUGUCACCCCCAUCACCUCCAUCACCCCCUGUCACAUCCGUCACCCUGGUCUGAUCUGCAUAGCGGUGGCCUCUCCAUGUGGUGCUGCCACAGGACAACACGAGGGGCUGCCUUUCCUUUCAUCCAGUUAGAGAUGUGACGACCCUCGGAGGCCCUGGGUCGGAAUCCACAGAAGCAGUGGCUGGAUGAGCCCCUUGAGUUGUCUUUAGGAAGGAAAGUUGCCAGUAGAAACAGUCAACAUUCACCUGUUUCAACUAACAGAUUUUUUUAUGGCAAAUACAAAGAUUGAUUGU
Molecule: long non-coding RNA, 1263 nt
Filed under: Phocoena sinus (vaquita)
Lineage: Eukaryota; Metazoa; Chordata; Mammalia; Artiodactyla; Phocoenidae
Description: lncRNA (ENSPSNG00000022036.1)
Source: RNAcentral